UUCAAGCUUACCACUGUCUACGGGCCAACUAGAAGCAUUCACAAAGAUGCUUUUUUCCUUGAGCUGUCAUCUCAGAAACCAUUGCCAGGAACAAAGUGGCUGGUUAACGGCGACUUCAACCAAAUAUACCGGGCUCGAGAUAAAAACCGCACAAAUGUGGAUCGCAGCCGCCUAGUUAGGUUUCGCAACACCUUAAACUCUUGCGAGCUCAAGGAGAUCCAUCUACAGAAUCGAAGAUUCACAUGGAGCAAUGAAAGAAACAACCCAACGCUUUGUAAACUGGACAGCUUUUUUUGCAAUGAGGACUGGGACAUCGAAUUUGCCAAUCACAUUCUUCAUGCCCUCUCCUCCUCACUUUUGGACCACUGCCCGCUUUUACUCGCUAAUGAGGAUGGGCCCAAGCGACCGAAGUCCUUCCGGUUCGAGAACCAUUGGACCAAGAUGCCGGGUUUCCAAAAGACGGUCAAGGAUGCUUGGGAUGAAGAAUCAACGCAUACCGAGCCAUACCAGAGGCUGUUUCAUAAGCUCAAAACUACUAGCCAAAGAUUACGCUAG
This 555-nucleotide ribosomal RNA is filed under the name Triticum aestivum (bread wheat). RNAcentral describes it as "partial small subunit ribosomal RNA". Lineage: Eukaryota; Viridiplantae; Streptophyta; Magnoliopsida; Poales; Poaceae. The record is from RNAcentral.